GGGUGCAUUGGGAAAUGGGUGCACAGGGAAAUGGGUGCACGGGGCGGUGGGUGCACAGGGAGAUGGGUGGCCAGGGAGAGGCCGGGCGCCGCUCACCGAUGCAGUGGGUGCCCUGGGUGCUGAGCCAGAAGCCGGGGUGGCAGAGGCAGGUGUAGCCGCCCUGGCGCGGGACGCAGCGCCCGGGGCCGCAGAUCCGCGGGUUCCGCUCGCACACGCUGCCGGCGGCUGCAACCGGGCGCACAUGAGUAACGCAUGCGUGUGCAAACAGGCAGGCGUGCAACCGUGCACACGUGUGCAAAUAGGCACGCAUGCAAACCGCCCACACGUGCAACCACGCAUAUAUUUAGCUGUGCAUGCAUGAGGUGCACGUGUGCAACUGCAGUUGCAUGCAGCUGGGCAUGCCUGCAACGGCGUGCAAAUGUGCACCUGUGUACACAUGUAGCUGUGCACGCACGUAACAUGCACGUGUGUAACUGUGCAUGCCUGUAACUGUGCACAAAUGGGACUUAAUGCAAAAUGCACGCGCGUGUAAAUGCUUGCACAUGUAACUGAGCACACAUGCAACCACACACACAGCCGUGCAAGCAUGCAACCAUGCACAAACGCACGGCCACGUGCACACGUGCGGCUGUGCACACCUGUGCAGAAACGUGCGUGUGCGACGGCGCAGAGCGGAACCCCACACGUGCACAAAAAAAACCACACGCAUGCAGCUGCGCACAGUGCAACCCCGUGCACGUCUGCAGGCAUGCACGUGUGCAACUGUGCACACGCGUGUGCAGCUGUGCACAAGUGCCCCAGCCCUACCUGGUGCCGGACCCUCCGGGCCGGGCGGCGUGGGGAGGGGUCCCAGCAGCCCCAGCGUGGGUCGAGGCACGAUGACAACCUCAGGGGCUGGUGGUGGCACCUCAGGGACGCGCGGUGGCACCUCAGGGACGCGUGGUGGCACCUCAGGGACGCGUUGUGGCACCUCAGGGACA
Anser brachyrhynchus (Pink-footed goose) is the source of this 980-nucleotide long non-coding RNA. Lineage: Eukaryota; Metazoa; Chordata; Aves; Anseriformes; Anatidae. The record is from Ensembl.